Molecule: long non-coding RNA, 353 nt
Filed under: Triticum aestivum (bread wheat)
Lineage: Eukaryota; Viridiplantae; Streptophyta; Magnoliopsida; Poales; Poaceae
Description: long non-coding RNA (TAES_LNC002519)
Source: RNAcentral
CGGGCGACCGCUGCCUUCUCCUCGGUUGCCAUCAUGCUCCUUUUUGUGUGCGUCGGCGCACAUGCCGGCGGGCGCGGCGACAAGGUCAAGGUGGUGGACCUCGUGGUAGAAACCUGCAAGAACGCUUCGAGCAGCUGCCGCAACAAGCACCUGAACGUCACCCAGGAAUUCUGCGUGCAGACUCUCCGGUCGGACAAAAGGAGCUCCAAGGCCAAGGACCUCCGUGACCUGUCCCUCGUCGCCGUCGACAUCCUCAAGAUCCGUGUGGCAGCUGCCGGCGGCAAGGUGAAGGAAGCACUCCAGAAAGCCAAGAAAGGUACGGACGAGGCACUCGGCCUCAGGUAUUGCCAGGU